This is a non-coding RNA of Nicotiana tabacum (common tobacco), 1204 nucleotides long. The record is from RefSeq and is a predicted model, not a curated record. NCBI's taxonomy places the organism in Eukaryota, Viridiplantae, Streptophyta, Magnoliopsida, Solanales, Solanaceae.
GUGUUCGCAAUUUGUUCGAAUCUGCCUUUGACGCUUGGAAAAGUUGAAGUUUCAGAUUAUCACGGCUUUACCAAAACCUUCGUAUCUCGAUGUUGGAAUGUCGGAAUUGAAAACCGUUUUUAUUGAUAGAAACUUGACUCGGAGAGAUUUUCGAAUAUGGCACGCCUUAGCAGGACAAAUCUUCAACAUCAUAUGGAAGGACAAAUUCAUGACCGUAUAUGGAAGGACAAAUCUAUGACAGCAUAUAUGGAAGGACAAAUCCAUGACAGCAUAUAGAAAUAUCAAAUCCAUGAUACCAUAUAGAAGUAUCAAAUUCAUGACAUCAUAUAGAAGGAUCAAAUUCAUGAAGAGGCCAACUUAAGGUGCAAAGGGACUUAAACGUUCACCUUAAGAUUAAAAAAUUAUAAUUCCUUUUCGGACAAACUCGCGAAGAGGUCAACUUAAGGUGUAAAGGGACUUCAAUGUCUACCUUAAUAUUGAAAAAAUAUAGUUCCUUUUAAGUACAAACCCUCAAAGAGACCAAUAUAAGGUGCAAAGAGACUAACAUGUCCACCUUAAGAUUGGAAAAUUAGAAAACUUCAACUUGGACUUGCAGAUUUCAACUUGAAGACCAUAAAAUUUGAAAAUUUGACGGACUUGAAAAUUUGGUGGACUUUGAUACUUCAACUUGAAGAGCAGUGGACUUUUAAACUUCAACUUAAAAAAUUAGCAGACUUGAAGACUUCAGCUUUAAGGCUUUUAUGGCUUAUAAUUCAACUUGAAAACCGGCGAAUUUGAGGACUUCAAAUUGAAGACCGAUGGACAUAAAGACUUGGAGGGAUUGAAUACUUCAACUUAAAGUUUGGCGGACUUGUAGAAUUAAACUUGAAGGGCGGUGGACUUGCAAAAUUUAACUUGAAGAGCGACAUACUUGAAAAUUUGGAGGGCUUAUAUAAUUCAACUUGAAGACCGAUGAACUUGAGGGCUUCAAAUUAGAGAUUUAGCCUUCUACUAAAAGUCUACAUUCAUCCAUCGGAGAUGCCAAUUUGCUAUGGAGGCUUGCCCCCAUUGAACCACCAAUCCUUGAUAAGGCACAAAAUUCAUGUAUGCCCGAUUUUUAAGUUCCAAUCAAGUGAAUUAUAUUCCAUCAUUCUUCCUUCGAAUAACGAUUGGGGUAAUAUGUAUAUUUUAAACUCAUGCGACUUAACUCAAAAUGAAACUCUAA